RNAcentral lists this long non-coding RNA (311 nucleotides) under Lathyrus oleraceus (garden pea). RNAcentral describes it as "Pisum sativum (pea) long non-coding RNA (PSAT_LNC008467)". The record is from RNAcentral. Lineage: Eukaryota; Viridiplantae; Streptophyta; Magnoliopsida; Fabales; Fabaceae.
AACAAAACAAAACAAAGAACAAAAACAAAGAAAAUAAAGUAUUCCCUCCCCCAUACUUAAAAUAUGCAUUGUCCUCAAUGAAAGAAACAAACAUAAAAUAAGAGAGAGAAGAGAGAGGAAAGAACACACGCGAGUAGUCAAGGAGGAUAGGUGAUCACAUAAGCAGCCUUUCUCAAAGAGAUAUAUUCUACAUUUUCUUCUUCCAAAGUCGGGCUGUCAUGGAAUAACUUUGGGUAAUGUCCAUUGAACUUGAAAUUUUUAUUAGUAUCUUCGCCUUUUAUUCCAGGAUCAAAGAAUCUUCUAAACGUAAA